UACAGAGGUCCCAAGCGUUGUUCGGAUUCAUUGGGCGUAAAGGGUGCGUAGGCGGCGCGGUAAGUCGGGUGUGAAAUCUCGGGGCUUAACUCCGAAACUGCAUUCGAUACUGCCGUGCUUGAGGACUGGAGAGGAGACUGGAAUUCAUGGUGUAGCAGUGAAAUGCGUAGAGAUCAUGAGGAAGACCAGUGGCGAAGGCGGGUCUCUGGACAGUUCCUGACACUGAGACACGAAGGCCAGGGGAGCAAACGGG
Molecule: ribosomal RNA, 253 nt
Filed under: uncultured bacterium
Lineage: Bacteria
Description: partial 16S ribosomal RNA
Rfam family: Bacterial small subunit ribosomal RNA
Source: RNAcentral